CGUGCAGCCGGGAAUGCAAGUCAGAUGUGAAAUCCAUGGGCUUAACCCAUGAACUGCAUUUGAAACUGUAUUUCUUGAGUACUGGAGAGGCAAUCGGAAUUCCUAGUGUAGCGGUGAAAUGCGUAGAUAUUAGGAGGAACACCAGUGGCGAAGGCGGAUUGCUGGACAGCAACUGACGGUGAGGCGCAAAGUGUGGGAGCAAACA
This 205-nucleotide ribosomal RNA is filed under the name uncultured bacterium. Its description in RNAcentral is "partial 16S ribosomal RNA". It matches the Rfam family "Bacterial small subunit ribosomal RNA", at positions 568 to 774 of the family's 1533-position model. The record is from RNAcentral.